CUACGGGGUGCUCCAGUCGAGAAUCUUUCUCAAUGGGCGAAAGCCUGAAGAUGCGACGCCGCGUGAGGGAUGAAGGCCUUCGGGUCGUAAACCUCUUUUGUUAGGGAGGAAAAGCAAACGGUAAACAAUCGUUUGUGCUGACUGUACCUGGCGAAUAAGCCACGGCUAACUCCGUGCCAGCAGCCGCGGUAAUACGGAGGUGGCAAGCGUUACUCGGUUUGACUAGGUGUAAAGGGUCCGUAGGUGGCCUUGCAAGUGGAAGGUGAAAUCCUUUGGCUUAACCAAAGAACUGCCUUUCAAACUGCAUGGCUGGAGGAUAGAAGGGGAUAGUGGAACUGCUAGUGUAAAGGUGAAAUUUGUGGAUAUUAGCAGGAACGCCUGUGGAGAAGUCGACUAUCUGGUCUAUACCUGACACUGAGGGACGAAAGCUAGGGGAGCAAACAGGAUUAGAUACCCCUGUAGUC
This 464-nucleotide ribosomal RNA is filed under the name uncultured bacterium. RNAcentral's name for it is "partial 16S ribosomal RNA". It matches the Rfam family "Bacterial small subunit ribosomal RNA", at positions 339 to 795 of the family's 1533-position model. The record is from RNAcentral.